Molecule: ribosomal RNA, 487 nt
Filed under: uncultured bacterium
Lineage: Bacteria
Description: bacterial SSU rRNA
Rfam family: Bacterial small subunit ribosomal RNA
Source: RNAcentral
CCGGUAGUCCUAGCCGUAAACGAUGAGCACUAGACUGAGGAGACCCCCACAUCUUCUCGGUCGUAGCGAAAGUGUUAAGUGCUCCGCCUGGGGAGUAUGGCCGCAAGGCUGAAACUCAAAGGAAUUGACGGGGGCUCACACAAGCGGUGGAGGAUGUGGCUUAAUUCGAGUCUACGCGAAGAACCUUACCUGGGCUUGAACUGCUUAAGAACACUUUGGAAACAGAGUGGUGCCCUUCGGGGAGCUUUUGCAGAGGUGCUGCAUGGCUGUCGUCAGCUCGUGUCGUGAGAUGUCGGGUUAAGUCCCUUAACGAGCGAAACCCUUAUCUUUAGUUGCCAGCGCGUUAUGGCGGGGACUCUAAAGAGACUGCCGGUGUUAAACCGGAGGAAGGCGGGGGAUGACGUCAAGUCCUCAUGGCCCUUAUGUCCAGGGCUGCACACGUCCUACAACUGCGUUGUACAAAGGGAUGCAGACCGUGAGGUGGAGC